RNAcentral lists this unclassified non-coding RNA (329 nucleotides) under soil metagenome. RNAcentral describes it as "partial contains 5.8S ribosomal RNA, internal transcribed spacer 2, and large subunit ribosomal RNA". The stretch from base 1 to 120 matches the Rfam family "5.8S ribosomal RNA", at positions 35 to 154 of the family's 154-position model. The record is from RNAcentral.
GAUGAAGAACGCAGCGAAAUGCGAUAAGUAAUGUGAAUUGCAGAAUUCAGUGAAUCAUCGAAUCUUUGAACGCACAUUGCGACCCUUGGUAUUCCGAGGGGCAUGCCUGUUCGAGCGUCAUUAUAACCCCUCAAGCUCAGCUUGGUGUUGGGGCCUGCUGCACUGGCAGCCCUUAAAAUCAGUGGCGGCGCCAUCUGGCUCUAAGCGUAGUAAUUCUUCUCGCUAUGGAGUCCUGGUGGAUGCUUGCCAUCAACCCCCAAUUUUUCUAUGGUUGACCUCGGAUCAGGUAGGGAUACCCGCUGAACUUAAGCAUAUCAAUAAGCGGAGGA